RNAcentral lists this ribosomal RNA (273 nucleotides) under uncultured bacterium. Its description in RNAcentral is "partial 16S ribosomal RNA". It matches the Rfam family "Bacterial small subunit ribosomal RNA", at positions 524 to 796 of the family's 1533-position model. The record is from RNAcentral.
UACGUAGGUGGCAAGCGUUGUCCGGAUUUACUGGGCGUAAAGCGCGCGCAGGCGGUUCGCUAAGUCCGGAGUGAAAGCUCCCGGCUCACCUGGGAGAGGGCUUUGGAGACUGGCGGACUGGAGACAGGCAGAGGCCGGUGGAAUUCCUGGUGUAGUGGUGAAAUGCGUAGAGAUCAGGAGGAACACCCGUGGCGAAGGCGGCCGGCUGGGCCUGUUCUGACGCUGAGGCGCGAAAGCGUGGGGAGCGAACCGGAUUAGAAACCCCCGUAGUCC